RNAcentral lists this long non-coding RNA (525 nucleotides) under Homo sapiens (human). RNAcentral's name for it is "HSALNT0401219". The record is from RNAcentral. Lineage: Eukaryota; Metazoa; Chordata; Mammalia; Primates; Hominidae.
CGGACCUAGUUCGCGGUGACAUGGCCAAACCUACCAAGAAAGUCGGGAUCGUCGGUAAAUACGGGACCCGCUAUGGGGCCUCCCUCUGGAAAAUGGUGAAGAAAGUUGAAAUCAGCCAGCAGGCCAAGUACACUUGCUCUUUCUGUGGCAAAACCAAGAUGAAGAGAUGAGCUGCGGGGAUCUGGCACUGUGGUUCCCGCGUGAAGACAGUGGCUGGCGGUGCCUGGACAUACAAUACCACCUCCGCUAUCACGAGUGGCACAAUGAAGAUUUGAACCCACGUAUGUCUCACUGGACGUAUGCCCAGGAACUGGUAAGCUAUAAAAAGACCUCCUUUAUUGUCUGGAGACAUAGAAUUAGUCCAAACGGUGUCACCUCCAGGAAGCCUUACUGUCACUUCCAUGGAGGACAGUGGCCUGGGCCCACACCACCCUCCUGCCUGUCUUCAGCCUUUGCUAGUGGAUCCUUUUCCCACUUCGAAGACUCCCCUUACAUCCUCCUCCAUGUUGUCCUCCAAAUGUGCUG